RNAcentral lists this ribosomal RNA (492 nucleotides) under uncultured bacterium. RNAcentral describes it as "partial 16S ribosomal RNA". It matches the Rfam family "Bacterial small subunit ribosomal RNA", at positions 29 to 507 of the family's 1533-position model. The record is from RNAcentral.
AGUGAACGCUGGCGGUAGGCCUAACACAUGCAAGUCGAACGGCAGCACAGUAAGAGCUUGCUCUUACGGGUGGCGAGUGGCGGACGGGUGAGGAAUACAUCGGAAUCUACUUUUUCGUGGGGGAUAACGUAGGGAAACUUACGCUAAUACCGCAUACGACCUACGGGUGAAAGCAGGGGAUCUUCGGACCUUGCGCGAUUGAAUGAGCCGAUGUCGGAUUAGCUAGUUGGCGGGGUAAAGGCCCACCAAGGCGACGAUCCGUAGCUGGUCUGAGAGGAUGGUCAGCCACACUGGAACUGGGACACGGUCCAGACUCCUGCGGGAGGCCGCAGUGGGGAAUAUUGGACAAUGGGCGCAAGCCUGAUCCAGCCAUACCGCGUGGGUGAAGAAGGCCUUCGGGUUGUAAAGCCCUUUUGUUGGGAAAGAAAAGCAGCAGGUUAAUACCCCGCUGUUCUGACGGUACCCAAAGAAUAAGCACCGGCUAACUUCGUG